This 253-nucleotide ribosomal RNA is filed under the name uncultured bacterium. RNAcentral's name for it is "partial 16S ribosomal RNA". It matches the Rfam family "Bacterial small subunit ribosomal RNA", at positions 524 to 776 of the family's 1533-position model. The record is from RNAcentral.
UACGUAGGUGACAAGCGUUAUCCGGAAUUACUGGGCGUAAAGCGCACGCAGGCGGCGCAUUAAGUCUGAUGUGAAAUCUCCCGGCUUAACUGGGAGGGGUCAUUGGAAACUGAUGUGCUCGAGGCGGUGAGAGGGGUGUAGAAUUCCCGGUGUAGUGGUGGAAUGCGUAGAUAUCGGGAGGAAUACCAGUGGCGAAGGCGGCUAUCUGGCUCACAACUGACGAUCAGGCACGAAAGCGUGGGGAGCAAACAGG